AAAUUGAAGAGUUUGAUCAUGGCUCAGAUUGAACGCUGGCGGCAGGCCUAACACAUGCAAGUCGAGCGGAAACGAGUUAUCUGAACCUUCGGGGAACGAUAGCGGCGUCGAGCGGCGGACGGGUGAGUAAUGCCUAGGAAAUUGCCCUGAUGUGGGGGAUAACCAUUGGAAACGAUGGCUAAUACCGCAUGAUGCCUACGGGCCAAAGAGGGGGACCUUCGGGCCUCUCGCGUCAGGAUAUGCCUAGGUGGGAUUAGCUAGUUGGUGAGGUAAGGGCUCACCAAGGCGACGAUCCCUAGCUGGUCUGAGAGGAUGAUCAGCCACACUGGAACUGAGACACGGUCCAGACUC
Molecule: ribosomal RNA, 351 nt
Filed under: Vibrio parahaemolyticus
Lineage: Bacteria; Pseudomonadati; Pseudomonadota; Gammaproteobacteria; Vibrionales; Vibrionaceae
Description: bacterial SSU rRNA
Rfam family: Bacterial small subunit ribosomal RNA
Source: RNAcentral